GCCUCUUUAGCUCAGUGGCAGAGCACUGGUCUCGUAAACCAGGGGUCGUGAGUUCAAUCCUCACAGGAGGCA
RNAcentral lists this transfer RNA (72 nucleotides) under Danaus chrysippus (African queen). It matches the Rfam family "tRNA". Rfam says of the family: Transfer RNA (tRNA) molecules are approximately 80 nucleotides in length. The record is from Rfam by way of RNAcentral. RNAcentral also lists the same sequence under 3 other names. Lineage: Eukaryota; Metazoa; Arthropoda; Insecta; Lepidoptera; Nymphalidae.